RNAcentral lists this ribosomal RNA (421 nucleotides) under Fusobacteriota bacterium. RNAcentral's name for it is "Fusobacteria bacterium partial 16S ribosomal RNA". It matches the Rfam family "Bacterial small subunit ribosomal RNA", at positions 355 to 776 of the family's 1533-position model. Lineage: Bacteria; Fusobacteriati; Fusobacteriota. The record is from RNAcentral.
UGGGGAAUAUUGCACAAUGGACGGAAGUUUGAUGCAGCGACGCCGCGUGGUGGGUGUAGGCUUUCGGGUUUUGAACUCCUUUUUCUCGCGAAAAAGGCACAGGUUUGGCUGUGUUGAAGGUAGUGGGGGAAUAAGCGCCGGCUAACUACGUGCCAGCAGCCGCGGUAAUACGUAGGGCGCGAGCGUGGUCCGGUUUUAUUGGGCGUAAAGACCUCGUAGGUGGUUAGUCGCGUCUGUCGUGCAAGUCAGCAGCUUAACUGUUGGUCUGCGGUGGGUACGGGCGGGCUUGAGUGCGGUAGGGGGGACUGGAAUUCCUGGUGUAGCGGUGGAAUGCGCAGAUAUCAGGAGGAAAACCGAUGGCGAAGGCAGGUCACUGGGCCGUUACUGACACUGGGGAGAGAAAGCGUGGGGAGCGAACAGG